GAUGAACGCUGGCGGCGUGCCUAAUACAUGCAAGUCGAGCGAACAGACGAGGAGCUUGCUCCUUUGACGUUAGCGGCGGACGGGUGAGUAACACGUGGGUAACCUACCUAUAAGACUGGGAUAACUUCGGGAAACCGGAGCUAAUACCGGAUAAUAUUUCGAACCGCAUGGUUCGAUAGUGAAAGAUGGCUUUGCUAUCACUUAUAGAUGGACCUGCGCCGUAUUAGCUAGUUGGUAAGGUAACGGCUUACCAAGGCGACGAUACGUAGCCGACCUGAGAGGGUGGUCGGCCACACGAGAAGGGGAACACGGUCCAGGCUCCUACGAGAGGCAGCAGUAGGGAAUCGUCCGCAGUAGGCGAAAGCCUGGCGGAGCAACGCCGCGUGAGUGAUGACGAUCUUCGGAUCGUAAAACUCUGUUAUUAGGGAAGAACAAACGUGUAAGUAACUGUGCACGUCUUGACGGUACCUAAUCAGAAAGCCACGGCUAACUACGUG
This 497-nucleotide ribosomal RNA is filed under the name uncultured bacterium. Its description in RNAcentral is "partial 16S ribosomal RNA". It matches the Rfam family "Bacterial small subunit ribosomal RNA", at positions 28 to 507 of the family's 1533-position model. The record is from RNAcentral.